UACGUAGGGUCCGAGCGUUGUCCGGAAUUACUGGGCGUAAAGAGCUCGUAGGUGGUUUGUCGCGUUGUUCGUGAAAACUCACAGCUUAACUGUGGGCGUGCGGGCGAUACGGGCAGACUAGAGUACUGCAGGGGAGACUGGAAUUCCUGGUGUAGCGGUGGAAUGCGCAGAUAUCAGGAGGAACACCGGUGGCGAAGGCGGGUCUCUGGUCCAGUACUGACACUCAAGUGCGAAAGCGUGGGGAGCAAACAGG
This 253-nucleotide ribosomal RNA is filed under the name uncultured bacterium. Its description in RNAcentral is "partial 16S ribosomal RNA". It matches the Rfam family "Bacterial small subunit ribosomal RNA", at positions 524 to 776 of the family's 1533-position model. The record is from RNAcentral.